Molecule: ribosomal RNA, 253 nt
Filed under: uncultured bacterium
Lineage: Bacteria
Description: partial 16S ribosomal RNA
Rfam family: Bacterial small subunit ribosomal RNA
Source: RNAcentral
UACAGAGGUCUCAAGCGUUGUUCGGAUUCAUUGGGCGUAAAGGGUGCGUAGGCGGCGCGGUAAGUCGGGUGUGAAAUCUUGGAGCUUAACUCCGAAACUGCAUUCGAUACUGCCGUGCUUGAGGACUGGAGAGGAGACUGGAAUUUACGGUGUAGCGGUGAAAUGCGUAGAUAUUCGGAGGAACACCAGUGGCGAAGGCGGCUCACUGGUCCGGUACUGACGCUGAGGUGCGAAAGCGUGGGGAGCAAACAGG